CGGGCCGGCUGGCGAGCGGAGCCCUGGGAGUCUCUCUUUAGAAGGGAGGUGAGGGGCCCGGGGACGCCCACGAGGACAGCCGCUCCCGAGAAAGGUGGAAUGGCGCUGCCGCACGCGGGCCGCCUCCUCCUUCCUCUCUCCCCUCCACGCACAAAAAGAAUGGGCCUUGAAAGGGAGAUCUCAGAUUGUGUGAAGGUCACUGUCUCCAUACCGGGAAAGGGUGGAAAACAGACCAUGGGCUCUGGCUGCACUUUCAGGAAUCGACGCUAGGUGGUACACUGCUUCUCCUGAGAGCUCCAAAGCCUCAUAACCUACAGAAACUAAGCCUACUUAAUGUUGGAACCCGAGACGUAAUAACCCAGGCCCAUAUCUCUUCUUCUUCCAUAUAAAAAUGCUUUUACCUUCGCCAAAAUCACGAAUAAUUUCAUAUCCAAAUGUUGCACUGUCUUAGAACGGCAUUCGGGAAAUAUCUGCUAAGUAAAUAAGACAUAAUUAAAAACAGAAAUGGCAGAAGCGUGAAAAAUUGAACUGCUUCCUAUCAUCUUCUCAUCUUUUUACACAAAGUUAAACUGGUUCCAAAACAGGAGAAGGUCAGCAUUUUCCAACUGUACUUGAUGCUCCCUUUUCUUAAAUAAGGCAUCUUUAAAUGAAUGACAUCUUAUGAAGUAUGAUUUGGGAAAUCCUCUCCUCAACACCUGUCCAUCUUAUUUAACGUAAUCACCCCGGAGUUAACUCAGCUGAGUUUUCAAUCUUCUUCACUGCAUUAUGCACUUCGGAGGCGCCAUUUUCUUCAGAUUCCCCCGGGAUAUCAAGUCCCAAAUUGACACUCGCUAUUAUGUGGCCAGUCAGGCGCUGAAAUCUGUCAACAAUUGCUCUGCACCUAGAGCACUUCUUUAAGUGUUGUUAGUCUUAUCGCAGGUGCUAAGGGGAUUCGUUUCCUGUUCACACUUGAUUCCAGUUUGAACUGAACCCAAUUCCAAGGUAAGAACAUGCACAUUCUCCAGCCCGCAGUGCUCAUGAGAUAACUGAAUCUCAUCUCCCUGGAAUGUCUGUUAAAUAGAGCUGAAGGAGUUAAUUCGCUACUCAUCGAAGCAAACUUUGAAAAUGUCUUUACUAUCAAAAGAAAGGAAAAAAUCC
This 1137-nucleotide long non-coding RNA is filed under the name Chinchilla lanigera (long-tailed chinchilla). RNAcentral's name for it is "lncRNA (ENSCLAG00000022754.1)". Lineage: Eukaryota; Metazoa; Chordata; Mammalia; Rodentia; Chinchillidae. The record is from RNAcentral.